Molecule: ribosomal RNA, 253 nt
Filed under: uncultured bacterium
Lineage: Bacteria
Description: partial 16S ribosomal RNA
Rfam family: Bacterial small subunit ribosomal RNA
Source: RNAcentral
UACGGAGGGAGCUAGCGUUGUUCGGAAAUACUGGGCGUAAAGCGCACGUAGGCGGCGCAGCAAGUCAGGGGUGAAAUCCCGGGGCUCAACCCCGGAACUGCCCUUGAAACUGCAGUGCUAGAAUCUUGGAGAGGCGAGUGGAAUUCCGAGUGUAGAGGUGAAAUUCGUAGAUAUUCGGAAGGACACCAGUGGCGAAGGCGACUCGCUGGACAAGUAUUGACGCUGAGGUGCGAAAGCGUGGGGAGCAAACAGG